UUUUUGCUUGAGAAGUCUUCUUUAGGUAUAAAACCAAACUAAAUACAGAAAACUCAAGUGAUUUUGUAAUAGAUCCUGUGUUGGUUUGGAUAAAAGCUAAGCUUCUGUGACAAAAACAGAAAAAUACUGUGAAAUAAAAGAAAAGAUGGUUCAUUUCUCUGUCAGUUAAUAGCCAGAAGUGAGCUGUCCAGAGCCAGCAAGUUGUGAGAAGUGCUGGGCUUCUGCAUAUUUUUCUUAGUCCCUGUUGGAUGUCUGCCAGACCAAGUGGACACACAGCAUCCAGAAAUCUUAACUUUGAGCUGCCUGAAGAAACAAGAUCACUCCAAGAGCAAGACACCUACAUCUGAAUUUUGAAUGUGGUAUAGAUCCAGAACUACCACACAGAGCCAUUUAUUACAAACACAGAUGUGUUGGAUACUGGAGUCAGGCAAACGAAAUGGAAAAAAAACCUCAGCUCUGAUUUUUCUCAGGAAAAUAAACUAUUAUCAACUUGGCAUCAAAUAAAAAUGAAUGUGUAUACAAUUUAACCAUUUCAUUGCUUUAAAAAAAAAAUCUAGAAGUAACCCUGCUCUUUGAAAUUGCUGCCCUGUGGGAACAAAAAUGUCCUAGAUGACCAGGACAUCCCUUCCUAGCACAGACUCUGAGGCCAUCUUUUUGAGUGUUAUUGCUCUUUCCACCCAUGACCCUUCCUCUGUACAGAUCGCCUGCUGUUUGCCACUCUUUCAAUAAGCAUCGCCCAGAUUGCUGCAUGCUCUGAGCAGCUGAUCCACACCAGCCAUCUGGUUGGUUUUUAGUUCCAUUGGGGUAAUUAAACUUUAUCUGUCACAUAAGUAUUUCCAGGGUUUGAGAAUUAGCUUUAGAAAUGAGAACACAGAGGAAUUCCCUAUAAGCCAAAAAGAACAAAAUUUUAGGAAAAUGUGUAAGGAAAUUUAGGAAGCAUGUUUCAC
Molecule: long non-coding RNA, 947 nt
Filed under: Sus scrofa (pig)
Lineage: Eukaryota; Metazoa; Chordata; Mammalia; Artiodactyla; Suidae
Description: lncRNA (ENSSSCG00005025872.1, ENSSSCG00040000453.1, ENSSSCG00060061121.1)
Source: RNAcentral